RNAcentral lists this ribosomal RNA (479 nucleotides) under uncultured Allobrachymonas sp. RNAcentral's name for it is "bacterial SSU rRNA". It matches the Rfam family "Bacterial small subunit ribosomal RNA", at positions 896 to 1382 of the family's 1533-position model. The record is from RNAcentral. Lineage: Bacteria; Pseudomonadati; Pseudomonadota; Betaproteobacteria; Burkholderiales; Comamonadaceae.
GAAACUCAAAUGAAUUGACGGGACCCGCACAAGCGGUGGAUGAUGUGGUUUAAUUCGAUGCAACGCGAAAACCUUACCCACCUUUGACAUGGCAGGAAUCCUAAAGAGAUUUGGAGUGCUCGAAAGAGAACCUGCACACAGGUGCUGCAUGGCUGUCGUCAGCUCGUGUCGUGAGAUGUUGGGUUAAGUCCCGCAACGAGCGCAACCCUUGCCAUUAGUUGCUACGAAAGGGCACUCUAAUGGGACUGCCGGUGACAAACCGGAGGAAGGUGGGGAUGACGUCAAGUCCUCAUGGCCCUUAUAGGUGGGGCUACACACGUCAUACAAUGGCCGGUACAGAGGGUAGCCAACCCGCGAGGGGGAGCCAAUCCCACAAAGCCGGUCGUAGUCCGGAUCGCAGUCUGCAACUCGACUGCGUGAAGUCGGAAUCGCUAGUAAUCGCGGAUCAGCAUGUCGCGGUGAAUACGUUCCCGGGUCUU